CCCUUAGAUGUUCUGGGCCGCACGCGUGCUACACUGAUGCAUUCAACGAGUCUAAAACCUGGUCUGAUAGGGCUGGGUAAUCUUUUGAAAGUGCAUCGUGAUUGGGAUAGAUGAUUGCAAUUCUUCAUCUUCAACGAGGAAUGCCUAGUAAACGCAAGUCAUCAGCUUGUAUUGAUUACGUCCCUGCCCUUUGUACACACCGCCCGUCGCUCCUACCGAUUGAAUGAUCCGAUGAAUACCAUGGAUUGAGAGUACGAAUAGGUUCGCUUAUUUCUGCUGCUCGAGAAGUGGAGUAAAUCUUAUCAUUUAGAGGAAGGAGAAGUCGUAACA
Molecule: ribosomal RNA, 330 nt
Filed under: uncultured eukaryote
Lineage: Eukaryota
Description: partial 18S ribosomal RNA
Rfam family: Eukaryotic small subunit ribosomal RNA
Source: RNAcentral